CAGGGUGCUAGAGUUCAAGAGAGAGUGCAUGCAGGGACUGUGUAACAUCAUCAGGAAAGUGCAGGACAAGAGCCCCCUCAAGUAUCUGACUGUUAGGCAGUUGGUGUGCCUGGAUCCGUCAGUAAUGUACAGAGAACCCGAAAGAUGCAGGAAUCACAUGAAAGGGCUGGUUCAGAGGUUUCUUCAGGAUAAACAGCUAACUGAUACUUCUGCAGGGGACGUCAUACUGCAGCAGUUUGACAGUCUCCUGUCCUUGGAGAGCAGGAGUGAGGACUUCCUCUCCUUUCCUCCCAUGCAGAAGAGGCUGGACGUCUUCCUGUGCAGUGCCAUGGAGCCUUAUCCAGAGCUGUGGGCCUUCUGCAAGAAGCUGCUCAUCCUCUCCCACGGCCAAGCUACGGUUGAACGUGGAUUCUCCAUCAAUAAAGAGGUUGAGUCAGAUAACUUGAAGGAGGACACUGUGGUCACACGGAGACUGGUGUGUGACUACAUCAUACAACAUGGAGGUGUUACCCAGGUUCCACUCAGUAAACAGCUACUGGCAAGUGUAGCAAGAGCUAGGACAAGGUAUCGUAUCCAUCUUGAGACCAAUAGAAAGAACAAGGAGGCAAAAGACCAGGCUCUCAAGAGGAAGGAGGCAGAGGACUGUCUUCAGGAGUUGAAGGUGAAGCGAAGAUGCAUACAGGAGGUAUCUGAGGGUCUGGCUAGGGAUGCGGACAGGCUGGCUGAGGAGGCUGAAGCGAAGGCAGGGAGCAAAAUGGCUGACCUGAUCACCAGGUCCAACAUCCUGCGGAGAGGCCAUAAGGAGAAGUUGGCAGAAAUGGCUCUCCUUGAUAAAGAGAUCACUGCUAAGAGUGCAGAACUUAGGGGUUGAUUGUGUGAUCGUAAUCUUAUUUAUUGUUGAGUUUAUUUUAAUUGUGUAUUGCUCAAGAGUGUACUCCCCAUAUUCCCAACAUGGAAUAAGUAGAUUGGUUAAUGUUAGCAAUGUUAAAAAAACAACUUAACUGUGUUAAGCAAUCUUUUUUUUUUUGUGGUCUGCUGAAAAUUUCUUUGGUUUUUCACACCUCUGUUUGGCUUGUCUGUGGUCUGUGCUGUGGUGUUGUAGCGUAAGUAGGCCUACUCACUAUUAUGCUGCAAUAUUACAUAAUUCUUCCAUAAUGCUUUACGCAGUCCACAUUUUCACAUUUGUUUGAGAAAUAAAUGAUCAAACAAAAAAAAGUGUUUUUCUUUG
Molecule: long non-coding RNA, 1228 nt
Filed under: Gouania willdenowi (blunt-snouted clingfish)
Lineage: Eukaryota; Metazoa; Chordata; Actinopteri; Blenniiformes; Gobiesocidae
Description: lncRNA (ENSGWIG00000022623.1)
Source: RNAcentral